This 497-nucleotide ribosomal RNA is filed under the name uncultured bacterium. RNAcentral describes it as "partial 16S ribosomal RNA". It matches the Rfam family "Bacterial small subunit ribosomal RNA", at positions 28 to 507 of the family's 1533-position model. The record is from RNAcentral.
GAUGAACGCUGGCGGCGUGCCUAAUACAUGCAAGUCGAGCGAACAGACGAGGAGCUUGCUCCUCUGACGUUAGCGGCGGACGGGUGAGUAACACGUGGAUAACCUACCUAUAAGACUGGGAUAACUUCGGGAAACCGGAGCUAAUACCGGAUAAUAUAUUGAACCGCAUGGUUCAAUAGUGAAAGACGGUUUUGCUGUCACUUAUAGAUGGAUCCGCGCCGCAUUAGCUAGUUGGUAAGGUAACGGCUUACCAAGGCAACGAUGCGUAGCCGACCUGAGAGGGUGAUCGGCCACACUGGAACUGAGGCACGGUCCAGACUCCUACGGGAGGCAGCAGUAGGGAAUCUUCCGCAAUGGGUGAAAGCCUGACGGAGCAACGCCGCGUGAAUGAUGAAGGUCUUCGGAUCGUAAAACUCUGUUAUUAGGGAAGAACAAAUGUGUAAGUAACUAUGCACGUCUUGACGGUACCUAAUCAGAAAGCCACGGCUAACUACGUG